GUAUCAAAACAAAGGAGUGAUAGAGGGUGCAAUUGUCUGAAUUACAGAGCUGGAUUGCUGAAACUUAUGAAAAACGAGGAUGGAGAG
Molecule: small RNA, 87 nt
Filed under: Bacillus methanolicus MGA3
Lineage: Bacteria; Bacillati; Bacillota; Bacilli; Caryophanales; Bacillaceae
Description: non-coding RNA with unknown function
Source: RNAcentral